Molecule: ribosomal RNA, 503 nt
Filed under: uncultured bacterium
Lineage: Bacteria
Description: partial 16S ribosomal RNA
Rfam family: Bacterial small subunit ribosomal RNA
Source: RNAcentral
AUUGAACGCUGGCGGCAGGCUUAACACAUGCAAGUCGAGUGGAGUGAUGGUGCUUGCACUAUCACUUAGUGGCGGACGGGUGAGUAAUGCUUAGGAAUCUGCCUAUUAGUGGGGGACAACAUCUCGAAAGGGAUGCUAAUGCCGCAUACGUCCUACGGGAGAAAGCAGGGGAUCACUUGUGACCUUGCGCUAAUAGAUGAGCCUAAGUCGGAUUAGCUAGUUGGUGGGGUAAAGGCCUACCAAGGAGACGAUCUGUAGCGGGUCUGAGAGGAUGAUCCGCCACACUGGGACUGAGACACGGCCCAGACUCCUACGGGAGGCAGCAGUGGGGAAUAUUGGACAAUGGGGGGAACCCUGAUCCAGCCAUGCCGCGUGUGUGAAGAAGGCCUUAUGGUUGUAAAGCACUUUAAGCGAGGAGGAGGCUCUUUUGGUUAAUACCCAAGAUGAGUGGACGUUACUCGCAGAAUAAGCACCGGCUAACUCUGUGCCAGCCGCCGCGGUAA